GUCGAGCGCAGGAACUGACGGAACUCUUCGGAGGGAAGGCAGUGGAAUGAGCGGCGGACGGGUGAGUAACACGUAAGGAACCUGCCUCAAGGAUUGGGAUAACUCCGAGAAAUCGGAGCUAAUACCGGAUAGUUCAACGGACCGCAUGGUCCGUUGAUGAAAGGCGCUUCGGCGUCACCUUGAGAUGGCCUUGCGGUGCAUUAGCUAGUUGGUGGGGUAACGGCCCACCAAGGCGACGAUGCAUAGCCGACCUGAGAGGGUGAUCGGCCACACUGGGACUGAGACACGGCCCAGACUCCUACGGGAGGCAGCAGUAGGGAAUCUUCCACAAUGGACGAAAGUCUGAUGGAGCAACGCCGCGUGAGUGAUGAAGGUUUUCGGAUCGUAAAACUCUGUUGUAAGGGAAGAACACGUACGAGAGGAAAUGCUCGUACCUUGACGGUACCUUACGAGAAAGCCACGGCUAACUACGUGCCAGCAGCCGCGGUAAUACGUAGGUGGCAAGCGUUGUCCGGAAUUAUUGGGCGUAAAGCGCGCGCAGGCGGCCUUUUAAGUCUGAUGUGAAAGCCCCCGGCUCAACCGGGGAGGGCCAUUGGAAACUGGAAGGCUUGAGUACAGAAGAGAAGAGUGGAAUUCCACGUGUAGCGGUGAAAUGCGUAGAGAUGUGGAGGAACACCAGUGGCGAAGGCGACUCUUUGGUCUGUAACUGACGCUGAGGCGCGAAAGCGUGGGGGAGCAAACAGGAUUAGAUACCNCUGGUAGUCCACGCCGUAAACGAUGAGUGCUAGGUGUUGGGGGGGUUUCCGCCCCUCAGUGCUGAAGCUAACGCAUUAAGCACUCCGCCUGGGGAGUACGGCCGCAAGGGNUGAAACUCAAGGAAUUGACGGGGGAC
Molecule: ribosomal RNA, 892 nt
Filed under: Exiguobacterium indicum
Lineage: Bacteria; Bacillati; Bacillota; Bacilli; Caryophanales
Description: bacterial SSU rRNA
Rfam family: Bacterial small subunit ribosomal RNA
Source: RNAcentral